Molecule: ribosomal RNA, 387 nt
Filed under: uncultured bacterium
Lineage: Bacteria
Description: bacterial SSU rRNA
Rfam family: Bacterial small subunit ribosomal RNA
Source: RNAcentral
AUUGAACGCUGGCGGAAUGCUUUACACAUGCAAGUCGAGCGGCAGCGCGGGGGCAACCCUGGCGGCGAGCGGCGAACGGGUGAGUAACAUAUCGGAACGUACCCCGUCGUGGGGGAUAACACAGCGAAAGCUGUGCUAAUACCGCAUACGACCUGAGGGUGAAAGCGGGGGAUCGCAAGACCUCGCGCGAUGGGAGCGGCCGAUAUCGGAUUAGCUUGUUGGUGAGGUAAAGGCUCACCAAGGCGACGAUCCGUAGCUGGUCUGAGAGGACGACCAGCCACACUGGAACUGAGACACGGUCCAGACUCCUACGGGAGGCAGCAGUGGGGAAUUUUGGACAAUGGGCGAAAGCCUGAUCCAGCCAUGCCGCGUGAGUGAAGAAGGCCU